This 404-nucleotide unclassified non-coding RNA is filed under the name soil metagenome. Its description in RNAcentral is "partial contains 5.8S ribosomal RNA, internal transcribed spacer 2, and large subunit ribosomal RNA". The stretch from base 1 to 122 matches the Rfam family "5.8S ribosomal RNA", at positions 35 to 154 of the family's 154-position model. The record is from RNAcentral.
GAUGAAGAACGUAGCAAAAUGCGAUACUUGGUGUGAAUUGCAGAAUCCCGUGAACCAUCGAGUUUUUGAACGCAAGUUGCGCCCGAAGCCUUUUGGCCGAGGGCACGUCUGCCUGGGUGUCACGCAUCGCGUCGCCCCCCACAAUUCUCUGUAAAGGGAACUUGUGCUUUGGGGGCGGAUAUUGGUCUCCCGUGCUCAUGGCGUGGUUGGCCGAAAUAGGAGUCCCUUCGAUGGACGCACGAACUAGUGGUGGUCGUAAAAACCCUCGUCUUUUGUUUCGUGCUGUUAGUCGCAAGGGAAACUCUAAGAAAACCCCAACGUGUCGUCUUUUGACGGCGCUUCGACCGCGACCCCAGGUCAGGCGGGACUACCCGCUGAGUUUAAGCAUAUCAAUAAGCGGAGGA